CAGGUCACUCCUACGGGAGGCAGCAGUGGGGAAUAUUGGACAAUGGGGGAAACCCUGAUCCAGCAAUGCCGCGUGAGUGAUGAAGGCCUUAGGGUUGUAAAGCUCUUUCGACGGGGACGAUGAUGACGGUACCCGUAGAAGAAGCCCCGGCUAACUUCGUGCCAGCAGCCGCGGUAAGACGAAGGGGGCUAGCGUUGUUCGGAAUUACUGGGCGUAAAGCGCGCGUAGGCGGCUCUUCAAGUCAGGCGUGAAAGCCCCGGGCUUAACCCGGGAAUAGCGCUUGAUACUGUUGGGCUUGAGUCCGGGAGAGGAUAGUGGAAUUCCCAGUGUAGAGGUGAAAUUCGUAGAUAUUGGGAAGAACACCAGUGGCGAAGGCGGCUAUCUGGACCGGAACUGACGCUGAGGCGCGAAAGCGUGGGGAGCAAACAGGAUUAGAUACCCUGGUAGUCCACGCCGUAAACGAUGAGUGCUAGACGUUGGAGAGCUUGCUCUUCAGUGUCGUAGCUAACGCGAUAAGCACUCCGCCUGGGGAGUACAGUCGCAAGGCUGAAACUCAAAGGAAUUGACG
RNAcentral lists this ribosomal RNA (568 nucleotides) under uncultured Alphaproteobacteria bacterium. RNAcentral's name for it is "bacterial SSU rRNA". It matches the Rfam family "Bacterial small subunit ribosomal RNA", at positions 329 to 915 of the family's 1533-position model. Lineage: Bacteria; Pseudomonadati; Pseudomonadota; Alphaproteobacteria. The record is from RNAcentral.